RNAcentral lists this ribosomal RNA (252 nucleotides) under uncultured bacterium. RNAcentral describes it as "partial 16S ribosomal RNA". It matches the Rfam family "Bacterial small subunit ribosomal RNA", at positions 524 to 775 of the family's 1533-position model. The record is from RNAcentral.
UACGGAGGAUGCAAGCGUUAUCCGGAUUUAUUGGGCGUAAAGCGUCCGUAGGUGGCAAUUCAAGUCUGCAGUUAAAGACCGGGGCUUAACUCCGGAGUGGCUGUGGAAACUGAAUAGCUAGAGUGCGGUAGGGGUAGAGGGAAUUCCCGGUGUAGCGGUGAAAUGCGUAGAGAUCGGGAAGAACACCGGUGGCGAAAGCGCUCUACUGGGCCUGCACUGACACUGAGGGACGAAAGCUAGGGGAGCGAAUGG